GAGUUUGAUCUUGGCUCAGGAUGAACGCUGGCGGCGUGCUUAACACAUGCAGUCGAACGAAGCGCCUUAUUUGAUUUUCUUCGGAACUGAAGAUUUGGUGACUGAGUGGCGGACGGGUGAGUAACGCGUGGGUAACCUGCCCUGUACAGGGGGAUAACAAUCAGAAAUGACUGCUAAUACCGCAUAAGACCACAGCACCGCAUGGUGCAGGGGUAAAAACUCCGGUGGUACAGGAUGGACCCGCGUCUGAUUAGCUGGUUGGUGAGGUAACGGCUCACCAAGGCGACGACCAGUAGCCGGCUUGAGAGAGUGAACGGCCACAUUGGGACUGAGACACGGCCCAAACUCCUACGGGAGGCAGCAGUGGGGAAUAUUGCACAAUGGGGGAAACCCUGAUGCAGCAACGCCGCGUGAGUGAAGAAGUAUUUCGGUAUGUAAAGCUCUAUCAGCAGGGAAGAAAGUGACGGUACCUGACUAAGAAGCCCCGGCUAACUACGUGCCAGCA
RNAcentral lists this ribosomal RNA (505 nucleotides) under uncultured microorganism. Its description in RNAcentral is "bacterial SSU rRNA". It matches the Rfam family "Bacterial small subunit ribosomal RNA", at positions 9 to 513 of the family's 1533-position model. The record is from RNAcentral.